RNAcentral lists this ribosomal RNA (435 nucleotides) under uncultured bacterium. RNAcentral's name for it is "bacterial SSU rRNA". It matches the Rfam family "Bacterial small subunit ribosomal RNA", at positions 43 to 524 of the family's 1533-position model. The record is from RNAcentral.
CAGGCCUAACACAUGCAAGUCGAACGAAGGCUUCGGCCUUAGUGGCGCACGGGUGCGUAACGCGUGGGAAUCUGCCCCUUGGUUCGGAAUAACAGUUGGAAACGACUGCUAAUACCGGAUGAUGACGUAAGUCCAAAGAUUUAUCGCCGAGGGAUGAGCCCGCGUAGGAUUAGCUAGUUGGUGGGGUAAAGGCCUACCAAGGCGACGAUCCUUAGCUGGUCUGAGAGGAUGAUCAGCCACACUGGGACUGAGACACGGCCCAGACUCCUACGGGAGGCAGCAGUGGGGAAUAUUGGACAAUGGGCGAAAGCCUGAUCCAGCAAUGCCGCGUGAGUGAUGAAGGCCUUAGGGUUGUAAAGCUCUUUUACCCGGGAUGAUAAUGACAGUACCGGGAGAAUAAGCUCCGGCUAACUCCGUGCCAGCAGCCGCGGUAAU